This 253-nucleotide ribosomal RNA is filed under the name uncultured bacterium. Its description in RNAcentral is "partial 16S ribosomal RNA". It matches the Rfam family "Bacterial small subunit ribosomal RNA", at positions 524 to 776 of the family's 1533-position model. The record is from RNAcentral.
UACGGAGGGGACUAGCGUUGUUCGGAAUUACUGGGCGUAAAGCGCACGUAGGCGGAUUUGUAAGUCAGGGGUGAAAUCCCGGGGCUCAACCUCGGAACUGCCUUUGAUACUGCAAAUCUCGAGUCCGGAAGAGGUGAGUGGAAUUCCUAGUGUAGAGGUGAAAUUCGUAGAUAUUAGGAAGAACACCAGUGGCGAAGGCGGCUCACUGGUCCGGUACUGACGCUGAGGAGCGAAAGCGUGGGUAGCAAACAGG